Molecule: long non-coding RNA, 3415 nt
Organism: Anopheles stephensi (Asian malaria mosquito)
Lineage: Eukaryota; Metazoa; Arthropoda; Insecta; Diptera; Culicidae
Exons: 3
Source: RefSeq, a predicted model, not a curated record
CGUAGUGUUGUCAAGUGUUGUUUAUUUUUCAUGCAAUAACAAUUCAAAAUAUUUUCAUGCAAAUUAAUUAAUUAUACUAAUUAUCCAAAUUCAACAUUCCGGCCACCAAAAGAGAAUUCUUUUAAAUGCAUGAAACUAUGUGAUCGACGUGUAAACUUAACUUGACUUGACGCUCCAAAUGUCAACAACUGUUGUUUACUAUUUCCCACGUGUAUCCUUCUUCCGCUCUAACCUCUCUGUUCGAUUGGAUUGGGUAGUAACGCGAUUCUGCUGACGGCUCGAACAAUUUCUUUUCCUGUGCCCACUCGUAAAGUUACUACUCUCACUACACCGUCCUUUCCUGGGUGCAAAGCUGUUAUUCGCCCUUUUGGCCAAACUGCAGGUGGGGUAUUGUCUUCUUUCACGAUCACUAAUUGGUUCACUUCUAGCUUCACCGGUGUAUUGUUCGCGUGCUUUGCCCUGGCCUGUAGCUGCUGUAGAUAUUCUGGGUACCACCGUGCCCAAAUCUCUUGCAUCUGCCUUUGCACUAAUUGGUACUCCUUCAAACGGUUCGGAGAAAUCUUGCUAAGAUCUACUUGUGGUACCGCCUGCAUGCUACUCCCUAUCAAGAAAUGGCCCGGGGUUAGUGCUUCCAAAUCUGUUGGCUCAUCUGAUAUUGGUAUCAAUGGACGCGAAUUUAAACAAAGCUCAACUUGUGCCAGAAGGGUAAGCAUAUUUUCUUGCGUCACACUUCUAACUCCUAUCGUCUUUAACAGAUGCCUUUUAGCGGACUUAACUGCCGCUUCCCAAAGUCCUCCAAAAUGAGGCGCACGCGGGGGGAUAAACUUCCAUACCAGUUCGUUCUCUGCGCACCAAUCAAAGAUCGCUCUCCUAUCACCCUCAUCGAUUUUCAGCAUCCUAUAGAUGCGAUGCAACUCGUGUGCCGCGCCCUUGAACGUCGUUGCAUUGUCCGAAUGCAAUUCGGCUACUUUACCACGUCUCGCGACAAAGCGACGUAGUGCUGAUAGAAAAGCAGUCGAUGUGAGAUCACUCACCAGCUCGAUAUGGACUGCCCUUGUCGCGAAACAUACGAAUAUCGCGAUGUAUGCCUUCGUUGGGCUUCGGUUGCGGACGGUCGACUUUAACAAAAACGGCCCACAGUAGUCGACGCCGCUGACGGCAAACGGUCGCGUUGGUGUCACUCGUGACUUAGGCAAAUCAGCUACCGCCUGUUUCACCAGCGUUGGCUUGUUCCGAAAGCAUGUGUGGCAUCGAUGGUACACGCUCUUUGCUAAGUUUCGGCCCCCAAUCAACCAAAACUUCUGCCGGAUUGUUGCUAACAUGAAUUGUGGCCCCGCGUGCAUCUUUUGAUGAUGAGUGUUCUCGACCAGUAGUGUCGACAGCCGAUGUGAUGCAGCGAGGACAAUCGGAUGUUUGGUUGACUCUGGUAUGUUGGCGUUACCAAGCCGGCCACCGACGCGUAACACACCCUUUGGGUCGAGGUCGUCCAUCUCCUCCGCAAACGAAUCAUGUUGUGCCCGUUGACACAACCUCAGUUCCGCAUCCUGCAACUCCGCCGCUGUAAGCGGUGGAACGGAACUCAAUAGCGUCUUCAUGUCCGUAUUCCGCUUGACGCUGUUGAUCGACGUUGACUUGCUCGCCCUGAGGUUGGAGAGGAUUCGCAAGCAAUAAGCAACAACCCUUCGCAACUUGCCGUACGAGGAAUAACGUGCGAAAAGUGUGUUGCUAAAGUCACACGUCGUAGAGGUGAUGACUAUUUUGGACACCGCUAACCGCUCCUCGAUGUCCGUCUCGUUCUCUUUCGCGAGUACUGGUUCCACCGGCCACUCUUCCUGUCCGUAGGACAACCAACGUGGCCCCUGCCACCAUCGCUCGCACUGCAGUAACUCUUCGGGCCUCAACCCACGCGAUAUAUCAUCCGCCGGGUUAUCGCUACCAGGAACAUGACGCCAGCAUGAAAUUCGGGUCUCCUCUUGUAUUUGCGCCACCCUGUUGGCGACGAACGGCUUCCAUCGACGAGGUGAUGAUUUGAGCCAAUGCAUGACGGUCAUGGAAUCUGUCCAACAGAUAACCGUCGACGAUGAAACGUUGAGUGCUCGAAUCACCUUCUGGAACAGGUGUACUGCUAGCCGUGCUGCACACAGUUCUAAUCUGGCGAUGGAAUGUGUGUUUGAGAGGGACACCACCUUGGACUUAGCCGCUAGCAAUCUAACCGUCGAGCCCCGUGUCGAAUCCGAGCGUACGUAACAACAUGCUCCAUAGGCUCCUUGAGAUGCAUCCGCGAAGAGAUGCAGCUGCAGCCUUUCCGGAUUGCUAUGUGCCACCAAUCGAGGUACUCGCAGUUCGCGUAACACAUAGAGCGUUGAGUGGAACCUCCUCCACUCUUCCUGAAUCUCCGCUGGUAGCGGACGAUUCCAGUCCAGCGUCUUCCCCUCGUGCUUCAAUCCCCAUAGGCGUUGCAGGAACAUCUUGGCGAGUAUCACCGUUGGUCCCAACAGACCAAGAGGAUCGAAGAUUCUGGCCGUGUAUGAUAACACCAGGCAUCGUGUCAGCUCUUCUGCAGGGGUUGGCAAAUCCACCCGAAACCGAAACAUAUCGUUGGAUGGUUCCCAAACCAAGCCCAGUGUUGAGACUGCUUGGUCUUCUUGCCAGUCUAGAACUGAUUUGAUGGCCAAAUCGGCGCUUGGAACACCAUCAAGCGCAGCCGGUAUGUUCGACGCCCAUUUCUUUAGUGAGAAGCCCGCUGAUUCCAACAUCGAUGAUAUCUGUUUACGUGUCUCGAUGGCUUCUGAAACACUUGCUGCACCAGUCAGCAAGUCAUCCACAUAAAAAUCAUGCAGAACCGGGUCUACGGCUUUGGGGUACUCCUGUUUGUUGUCAUGCGCGAUUUGUUGCAACGUACGAGUGGCCAAGAACGGAGCUGAUGCGGUACCGUAGGUCACCGUUUGUAGCUCAUACGUUGCUAUUGGUUCGGUUGAACGUUCCCGAUAUCGAAUGCGUAGCAGUUUUCGAUCUUUAUCAUAAUGCAGGAUCUGCCUGUACAUCUUCUCCACGUCUGCCACUAAUGCGACAGAAUGCUUCCUGAAUCGCAAGAUGAUUGUGAGCAGAUCAUCUUGUACCGUUGGGCCAAUGAGUAAAGUGUCGUUCAAGGAGUAGCCCGAUGUUGUUUUGCAGGAUGCAUCGAAAACAACACGAACCUUGGUUGAAGAACACGACUCCUUAAUCACGGCAUGAUGAGGGAUGUAGCAGUGCGGCUCACUAUCGUCGACAGGUUCGGAUUGGCCUUUAGCCGCCGUUCAACUCCCAACAAACGCCGAUCUGCUAUAUCCCUUGACAAACCCAGGACUUUCUCCGGUUUGGCAUUUCGCGGCAACGAUACGACAUAGCGACCUUGAGCAUUUCGCGUAGUCGUGGA